Molecule: RNA transcript, 2685 nt
Organism: Arachis stenosperma
Lineage: Eukaryota; Viridiplantae; Streptophyta; Magnoliopsida; Fabales; Fabaceae
Gene name: carbon catabolite repressor protein 4 homolog 1-like
Exons: 13
Source: RefSeq, a predicted model, not a curated record
UUUACACUCACUUUCACACACAGACGCCAAGAAAGAAACCAUACGCCAAGAAAGAAAGAAACCAUUUUUUCACAUCCUCAGUAGUAAAAACCCUAAUCUUCGAUCGCGCUCCUCUUCCGCUCUCUAAAACCCUAAUAUCCGAUCCUCCAGAUCGCUUCGCCCAUCAAAUCCCCGCUCCCCAAUCGCUAAGCUUUCCUAUUGCGCCACCAAUUUUCCUCCUAGGGUUUGUUCUGAUUGAAAUUCCGUCAAGGCUGGCGGCUACCCGGGUCAUGUAAAUGGCGGAUCCGCCAACAAUCCGCCCCUGCAAGCGUUGUGUUACAGUUACAGAUACAGUUACGGGCGGUAGCAUAGGAAGCAGAAGCAGCAGCAGAAGGAGAAGAGUGGUGUUGAUAGGGUCAGAGAGUUGUGAAGAUUGCGAAGAGUGAAGCAUGCUGAGCGUGGUGCGAGUGCACCUCCCUUCCGAUAUUCCCAUCGUAGGAUGUGAGUUAACACCUUAUGUGCUCCUCCGCCGCCCUGACAGGACCGUUACCACCGAUGAUGUUUCCGAGAUCAACCCCUUAGAUGGCCAUUUCUUGCGUUACAAGUGGUAUCGUGUACAAAGUGAUAAAAAAGUUGCUGUUUGUAGCAUACAUCCAUCCGAGCAGGCCACACUGCAGUGCCUAGGUUGUGUUAAGGCUAAAAUACCUGUUGCCAAAAGUUACCAUUGCACUCCAAAGUGUUUUUCAGAUGCAUGGCAGCAUCAUCGUGUCUUACAUGACCGUGCUGCAAGCGCAGUUAAUGACAACGGAAAUGAAGAGGAGGAGUUAUUUGGGCGAUUUAAUAAUUCUGGUUCUGGAUCUUCCAAUACCACCUUAUCUGCCUCUGCUUCAAGUGCUAGCCUGACAAAUGGAGCUGCACCUGUGUAUCCGGCAGCAGUUACACAACGAAGUGGUGGUGAAACGUGGUUUGAAGUUGGACGUUCUAAGACAUACACCCCUACUGCUGAUGACAUUGGUCAUGUACUUAAGUUCGAGUGUGUUGUAGUUGAUGCAGAGACAAAACUUACUGUGGGGCAUGCUAGCACUCUACUAACAUCCCGUGUCAUUCCUGCUCCUUCGCCUAGUCCACGUCGAAUGAUACCUGUUGAUGGGAUGGGGCAUUUAGAUGCAGAAGGGCGUAUAACAUCUUCGGGAUCUUUUACGGUUCUAUCAUACAACAUAUUGUCUGAUUCAUAUGCCUCAAGUGAAUUAUACAAUUACUGCCCUUCAUGGGCUCUUUCGUGGCCUUAUCGCCGGCAAAAUUUGUUACGAGAAAUAGUUGGUUACCGUGCUGAUAUUAUUUGUCUUCAGGAGGUUCAAAGUGAUCAUUAUGAGGAAUUUUUUGCCCCUGAACUGGAUAAACAUGGUUAUUAUGGUCUUUACAAGAAAAAAACAAAUGAGGUAUUCCUUGGUAAUGCCAAUACAAUUGAUGGUUGUGCGACAUUUUUUCGUAGAGACAGAUUUUCACAUGUGAAAAAAUAUGAGGUUGAAUUCAAUAAGGCUGCACAGUCAUUAACAGAUGCAAUGAUUCCAACCUCUCAGAGGAAAACUGCCUUGAAUCGGCUGGUUAAGGAUAAUGUUGCACUAAUAGUUGUACUAGAAGCAAAGGUAAACAAUCAGCCUGUUGACAAUCCUGGGAAAAGACAGCUUCUUUGUGUGGCAAAUACACAUGUCAAUGUGCAUGACGAUUUAAAGGAUGUCAAACUCUGGCAGGUGCAUACACUUUUAAAAGGAUUGGAGAAAAUCGCUGCCAGUGCGGACAUUCCAAUGUUGGUUUGUGGAGACUUUAACUCAGUUCCAGGAAGUGCUCCUCAUUCUCUUCUUGCAAUGGGAAAAGUAGAUCCUUCACAUCCUGACUUAGCUGUUGACCCACUUACUAUAUUGCACCCUCGUACCAAGUUGGUUCACCAAUUGCCACUGGUCAGUGCAUAUUCAUCUUUUGCAAGAACAAUUGGUGUUGGGUAUGAGCAGCAUAGACGGAGAUUGGACAGCACAACAAAUGAACCUUUAUUCACCAAUGUCACUAGAGAUUUUAUUGGAUCUCUAGAUUACAUAUUCUACACAGCGGAUUCCUUGGUUGUGGAGUCGUUGUUGGAGCUAUUGGACGAGGAAAGUUUGAGGAAGGAUACAGCUCUUCCUUCACCUGAGUGGUCCUCAGAUCAUAUAGCUCUCUUAGCUGAGUUCCGCUGCUGCAAAAAUAGAUAUAGGCGCUGACUCAUAAGGUCGGAUCCGGAUAUACGUAAACAAAAAGGUUGAAAGAAUCAAGCAUUUAGUUGACAAGAUAUUGUAAGAGUGGUAGAUCAUGGCCUUUGUCUUUUUUCCCAGAUAGAGUGAUAUUAAACAUCCGUUAAGUAAGCAGUGAAGAUUAAUGUUGUAGCACAGGACAAGGACGAUGAAGAGCCACUAGGGAGCUGAGAUUGAGUGAAACUGUUGUUCCCAAAUGACAAAGUACGUCGAUGGGGAAAGGGAAAAGAGCCGCCAUAGAUGGUUUUUUGAGUUGGAAUAGUGUUGUGUUUUAGAGCUUCUAAUGUCAAUCUCUAUUGCCGGAAUUUUUAUACGGUUGUUUGAUAUAUAAAUGUAAGAUUGUAAUGUUUGUAUGAUAGUAUGAUGGGAGUAGCAAUAUUCAUUUUAUAAGUACCAAUGUUCUAUCCCCACUAACGUGGAUGAU